GCUCCUGUAGCUCAGUGGCAGAGCGUCUGUCUUGUAAACAGAAGGUCCCGUGUUCAAUCCACGGCUGGAGCA
Non-coding RNA from Blastocladiella britannica, 72 nucleotides. Lineage: Eukaryota; Fungi; Blastocladiomycota; Blastocladiomycetes; Blastocladiales; Blastocladiaceae. The record is from the annotation of a GenBank genome assembly.